UGGAGCUCAGUGGUAUAGCACUUGCUUAGCAUGCAUAAAGCCCUGGGUUUGAUUCCCAGCA
Molecule: transfer RNA, 61 nt
Filed under: Ictidomys tridecemlineatus (thirteen-lined ground squirrel)
Lineage: Eukaryota; Metazoa; Chordata; Mammalia; Rodentia; Sciuridae
Description: Spermophilus tridecemlineatus (thirteen-lined ground squirrel) tRNA
Rfam family: tRNA
About the family: Transfer RNA (tRNA) molecules are approximately 80 nucleotides in length.
Source: Rfam by way of RNAcentral